CAAAGAAAAGGAAGAGUAUCUUCGGAAAAACGAAUAAGCAAAGAGUUAUUUUUCAAAUGCAUCGUUCCGCGGAUUUGCCUAUUUUUCAUAAUGUGACUUCGCUUGAAAUCGAAACAGUGAAAACAAUCAAAAGAAAUCUAGUCUAAUGUAAACUUUAUUUGUGAAAAGGCCUUAAUCUUUAUCUGUCUGUGAAAGGGGUAUUAAAAAAAUUGUAUUAAAGACUAUAGAGAAUCUCAAAACGAGCUCUCCCGCUCUCAAGCAGAAACACGAAGAAAAUUAUUGAUGUAAAACAAGUCUCAAAUCCGUGAAAUGAUGCCAAAACAGUUUACAGAGAGAAGAGGAGAGAAUGCAAGUGAAAAUGGGAUAGCAAAGCGAAGAGAAUGAGAACAAUGAGUGUUUGAGAGUAGGAAUAAAUUUUACAAAUUAGUCAUUGAAUUGCAAGGAACUUUGUUAUAUCUACAUUUGUAAAACAUUCUGAUACUGAGUCACACCUGGAUUUUUAUUAUAUAUGGUUUAAUAUGUUACUUGAGUAUCAGAGCUACAUCUGUCAAGAAAAUUUCAGAAUACGAGUCAAGCAUCGUUUUCGAUUUUAUCUUCUGUCAAAACCGGGGCAAAGAACAGUCCUGCUCUAUGUGUGUAAGCCCAUACAGCUUAACGAAGAACACUAUACUAUACAAUUACGGAAUACUAAAUAAAAGUAAGCCAGACCGUUAAAAA
Belonocnema kinseyi is the source of this 717-nucleotide long non-coding RNA. RefSeq lists it as uncharacterized. The record is from RefSeq and is a predicted model, not a curated record. The transcript has 2 exons. NCBI's taxonomy places the organism in Eukaryota, Metazoa, Arthropoda, Insecta, Hymenoptera, Cynipidae.